RNAcentral lists this transfer RNA (103 nucleotides) under Gloeophyllum trabeum ATCC 11539. RNAcentral's name for it is "tRNA-Asp". Lineage: Eukaryota; Fungi; Basidiomycota; Agaricomycetes; Gloeophyllales; Gloeophyllaceae. The record is from RNAcentral.
UCUCUGGUAGUAUAUCGGAUAGUACACCCGCCUGUCAUUGGUUGCGUAAUUCUUACGUAAUCUCAUGGCGCGGGAGAGCGGGGUUCGACUCCCCGCCAGAGAG